UCUCUCUCCCCCUUUCUAUGCAACCCUAAUCGCCACCUCUCUCUAUGCCAAAAAUGGCAAAUUCGCAGAACAUAGUCGUCGCAUGCAGCUUUAUUAUGUCUAUUAUGAUGAAAGCAUUUAAUGUUGCACUCGAAAUUAUGAUUUUAAAUCCAAACAUGGUAAUGAAUCGAAUUUGUUGCUUUAUUUUACUUUAUUAUGCUGAGAUUUACACGUAUUGUUAUUGUACCUUGCUUAAAUUCCAUUGGUUGGAUUUGAAAAGGUUGGAUCGAACCGAGUAAGGUUCAGAUCUGACCGUUCAUAUGCUUAAGAGGCCAUGAAAGGCUUAGAUCUGGUCUUAAAGUUCAUUUUUAUGGGAAUGUGUUUGUUCCACAUCGAUGGUUUUGGGGGUUAGAUGAUUUUUGGGGUUCUAUCUGGUCUUAAAGUUCAUUUUUCUGGGAAUACGUUUGUUCCACAUCGAUAGUUUUGGGGGUUAGAUGAUUUUUGGGGUUCUAUAUAACCCUAACCCCCCUUUACAGAACAAGUUGGAAAAAGUGAAAAAGGAGGCUUUUUUGAAAGAAAGUCUGAGUCUCUAAGUCAAAAAAAUUUAAAAGAGUUUUUUCAGAAUUUAGAAAAAUUGGAGAAGUUCAAAGAAAAUUGGAGAAGUUCAAAGAAAGGCUAAAACUUCGAAUUUUUUAAGCCUCUAUUAGUAAAAUUUUAAGACUUCAUUAAGUGUGAGGUCUCUCUGAGUUGAAAUCUUUUAUUUGUUCUCUUUUGUUCGAGUCUGUGUGGCUGAGUUGUGGCUUUUGGAAGCACUUAAGGCUUUCAAAUUCAUUUUUUAUCAGGGCUGCACCAUAAAAAGGUAAUGUUCUAUCCUAUUUACUUAUUUUGGUAUUGUUUAGUAUUAGUCUAAAUGAUAAUAACUUAUUAAUGUUGGUUAGUUGUUGUUUUGCAUGCGGUUCAGUUGAGUUUAUGUAUUGAUUAAGAUGUAUUAGUUUCUUAGAUGUGAAGGUUGCCUCUCUUUAUUUUCAAAGCCAUGUUUGAGAUUAAUAAGUAAUUUCUUGAAGUAGACAGAGUGUGUAUGCCCAAAUAAUGCAUUGUUUGUUUAAAUAUGAUGGAAUAGAUUUCAUGUAUUCUGUUAGAUGUUGAAGGUUCCUACCUUUGUUGUUCAAUGCUUAAAUCUGACAAGGACAUGAUCACAUAAGUCAUGAUAGUAAUUUGAUGAACUUUUAAGUUAAUACUAAUCCUGUUGAAUGUAGUAGAACAUUUAAGUGAUGUGAUAUUUGUUUGAAGAAUUUGAAGUGAUUGUCUUUUUUUUUUUCUUUUUUUUUUUUGGUGAAUAAGAACGUGGCUUGUGUUUUCUUCCUAAAUUGUUAUUUUGUGGGCCUGCAUACUUGCUUGAUGUCAACUAAGGGACAUGAGCUGUGAUUGGGAUAAAACAUAGUAAGGGUCAUGAUUAGGUUAAAACAGAGUUUAAGGGACCUAAGUAUACCUGUAAGAAAUGCUACACCUCGGAAAUUUUUUCGUUCAUGCACAGUGAAUAGACUGACGAAGGGAACGACGUAUACGACGUUUUGAUAAGCAAGAAAUAACAUUUGAUGAUUCUAAAUGAGAUUUCGAAGAUAUUCGAGGUUAUAGAAGAAAGUUUGCCAAGAAAGGCAAGGCAUACGCGGUGUACCGGAAAUGAUUCACAAGGUACCAAGUUAAUGAUGACUUGAUGAUGUCUUAAAGAAAAGUUAUAACGUCCCUUAGAUUGAUAAUGAAGUGUUAAACAAGUGUUAAGAGGGUUCCAUAAGGAUUGGAGCUCAAACGAGUCGACGAGAACAAGCUUCGGAAAACUGGGCAUUAUACGGCCAAACAUACUGGCCGUAUAAAACAUACGGGCAGUAUGUUCCACCGUAUAAUCAUCCCAGAUUAUCAUCCCUCUCUGGACCAAAUCUACGGCCAUACAUACGGUCAGUAUAAUUUAUACGGACCGUAUGUUGGUCCGUAGAAACUGGUGGGGUCAGAUUUUGUGUAUUAAUAAGGGAUCCAAAUCUUAUUUCAUUUCAUUUCCCUUCACUCCCCUUCUCUCUAAAACAUCUCUCUACACUUCUCCCACAAGAAUUCAAGGGUUAUUCAUGAUCAAUCUCAUCAAACCAAGGAAAUCAAGUGUAAGAAACUCAUUGGAGUUUCAUCCAAGGCAAGGAAUCCAACUGAAGGUAAAACUAGGGUUUUGCUCAAGUGAGGAAUUUCCACCCAAGGUUCAUUCCUACACCAUCUAAGGUAAGAUUUAUGGUAUUUCCAUGUUGUUUAAGGUAUUUGAAAGUUGAAACACUUGGAUUGUAGAAGAAUAUAGAAAAAUGGGUCAUGAAUGUGGGAAUAGUGUCAUUUUGAGUAAUAGCUUGAAUUGAGUCAUGAUUCUUGAUGUGUUGUGAUAUGAUUUUGUUAUAAAUGAUAUCAAGGACAUGGGAUAAGCAUUAUAUGUGAGAAAACGUACUAGUAUACUAUGACCAUGAUUAUGGAUGAAUUGAAGUGGAAUUGUGAAAUAAGGGUAAUGUAGAUGAAUGAAGAUAGUUGGUUAUGAUAUUGUGAACGUUAUUAUAAAUGUUUGGGAGUUGAUAUACCAUAUGGGGAAGGUUGUAUAAACAAAGGAAAUGCUGCCCAAUUUUCUCUAGCUUUAGUAAGCACAUUCAUAUAAUCGAUUAGCUAAUGUUAAUGCGAAUUCUCUUGAAGGUAGAAACGUGAGCAUUAAAGGAGAACAAUCAAGCGAUGGAAAUUGUUAAACGAAAGAGGUAUGUAAGGCUAGUCCUUUCUUUCUAAGGAAUGAUUCUUAUGGAAUGAAUUCUCCUAUAUUUCCAUGACUUUCCUAUAUAUCGGAAAUUAUGAGUCUACGAAUAUAAAGAGCUUCAUACAAGAUAAAGAAAAGAGAUACUUUACGAGCAUGACAAUACCGAGGGUGAAUCUAAGUCUAGAAGUCCUAAAGCUCAUGAUACGAUAUUCCUACGAAGCUAAUGACCCUUACAUGAUUCCUAUGAUAUUAUUUUCCUACCUCUCCAUGACUUUCUUACAUUCCGGGAAUUAUGAGAUAAUAUUGAUAAAGAGCUUCUUAUGAGAUAAAGAUGAGAAAUAUGUCAUGAAUACAAAAAAAUGAUGGUAAGUUUAAGCCUAGAGAUUUUAAAGCAAGAUAUGAUGCCUAUGAAGUAAAGAUCCUACUUACGAUCCCUUGAUGUUAUUCAUGGUGUACACUCAGCUUAAAAUGUUAGUUCCUUCAAGGUGAGAUAUGAUGAAUAUGAUUGCUCCAUAAUGUAGUCGGGGGUUCUCGACCUUUUGUCACCCCGACAUUGUUAUAGAUUGUCUAUAAGCUCUAAUGCAUGUCCUAUGACCAAUGUUUCGAAAAUUUACGAGUCUACGUUCAUAGAGGAUUUCAUAUGAGAUAAAGGUAAGAGAUACACCAUAGAUACGAAAAUGGUAAUGAUGAGCCUAAGUUUAGAAAUUAUAAAGUCGAUCAUACGAUAUUUUUUACAAAGUUCAUGCUACGAAUAUGAUAUGAUUUUCAUAGAUUGUCUUUAAAUUCAAGUGCAUGCUCUAUGCUACGUUAUGAUAAGGUUAUGAUAUGCCUAUGAUAAGUAUGAUGAUGAUGUUAAUAGUGAUAACGAUAAUGAUGACGAUGUUGAUAGCGAUGAUUAUAAUGAUGACGAUGAUAAUAGUGAUGACGUUAAAGAUAUUUAUGGGCUUUUAUGUAUGUGUGCCUAUGUAUGGCUAUUAUGAAACCUCGAGCUUAUGUGGCCGGGUAGAAUGUAUAUGUAUAUAUGAUGAUGUGUGUGCACCACUGCAGUUGGGUACGGAUAACACUGAGCCUUGAUAGGGCCAGGCACGGAUAACACUGAGCCUUGGCAGGGCCCAGCACGGAUAACACUGAGCCUUGGUAGGGCCAGGCACGGAUAACACUGAUCCUUGGUAGGGCCAGGCACGUAUAACACCAGGCAUUAUUAUAGCCGGGUAUGUAAUACACCGAACCUAUAUAGCCGGGCACGAUACUACUAUGUAUUCUAAUGUAUGAAAAGCCCGGAAGAUAUGUGUGUGAUAUUGUCGAGCCACUACGUGGCCGAAUACGGAUAAUGUUUAAUGUGUAUGAGCAGAUAUGAUAUUAUGAUAUAUGUAUGAUACGAUGAUGUAUGCGCUACGAUGAUACAUGUACUAUGAUUAUAUAAUAUACGAUAUAGGCAUGAAAGGUAUCCUCCUUUAAACGUUACGCAGGUUAUAUCUUCAUCUUAUGUCUCAUGACUUUUCUAUUAUGUUCAUUUCAUUCAUGCCUUACAUACUCAGUACAAUGUUCGUACUGACGUCCGUUUUCUUUGGACGCUGUGUUCAUGCCCACAGGUAGACAGGGAGGCGACCCAGAUUUACAGAAGCCGAUAAUGUUACACCUCGGAAAUUUCUCCGUACUUGUAUGGUAACGACGUGAUAUCGAUGGAGAACAAGUGAGCGAUAUCUUAGCUAAACGACCAAGGUAGACAGGGAGGAGAGCUUGGCCCAGGUCCUCAGUAGCUGUCAGCUGAUAGAUAGCACUCCAUUGUUCGGAGGUGCUUAUGACUAUUCUUUUGAUGUACAUUCAUAUAUGCAUAUAUUGGGCAUGACGGAGUCUUGUUCCGUCCAUGUAUUCAUUAUGUUAGUAGAGGCUCGUAGAUACGCAGUGUGGGUUAGAUGGCCUCACAAGAUGUUUUCAUAUGUAUGUGUAUUAUUUUGAUG
Long non-coding RNA from Lycium barbarum (goji berry), 4707 nucleotides. RefSeq lists it as uncharacterized. The record is from RefSeq and is a predicted model, not a curated record. Lineage: Eukaryota; Viridiplantae; Streptophyta; Magnoliopsida; Solanales; Solanaceae. The transcript is spliced from 3 exons.